GCUAAUACCGUAUAACAGAGAAAACCGCAUGGUUUUCUUUUAAAAGAUGGCUCUGCUAUCACUUCUGGAUGGACCCGCGGCGUAUUAGCUAGUUGGUGAGGUAAAGGCUCACCAAGGCAGUGAUACGUAGCCGACCUGAGAGGGUAAUCGGCCACAUUGGGACUGAGACACGGCCCAGACUCCUACGGGAGGCAGCAGUAGGGAAUCUUCCACAAUGGACGCAAGUCUGAUGGAGCAACGCCGCGUGAGUGAAGAAGGGUUUCGGCUCGUAAAGCUCUGUUGUUAAAGAAGAACGUGGGUAAGAGUAACUGUUUACCCAGUGACGGUAUUUAACCAGAAAGCCACGGCUAACUACGUGCCAGCAGCCGCGGUAAUACGUAGGUGGCAAGCGUUAUCCGGGAUUUAUUGGGCGUAAAGCGAGCGCAGGCGGUCUUUUAAGUCUAAUGUGAAAGCCUUCGGCUCAACCGAAGAAGUGCAUUGGAAACUGGGAGACUUGAGUGCAGAAGAGGACAGUGGAACUCCAUGUGUAGCGGUGAAAUGCGUAGAUAUAUGGAAGAACACCAGUGGCGAAGGCGGCUGUCUGGUCUGCAACUGACGCUGAGGCUCGAAAGCAUGGGUAGCGAACAGGAUUAGAUACCCUGGUAGUCCAUGCCGUAAACGAUGAUUACUAAGUGUUGGAGGGUUUCCGCCCUUCAGUGCUGCAGCUAACGCAUUAAGUAAUCCGCCUGGGGAGUACGACCGCAAAGGUUGAAACUCAAAAAGAAUUGACGGGGGCCCGCACAAGCGGUGGAGCAUGUGGUUUAAUUCGAAGCUACGCGAAGAACCUUACCAGGUCUUGACAUCUUCUGACAGUCUAAGAGAUUAGAGGUUCCCUUCGGGGACAGAAUGACAGGUGGUGCAUGGUUGUCGUCAGCUCGUGUCGUGAGAUGUUGGGUUAAGUCCCGCAACGAGCGCAACCCUUAUUACUAGUUGCCAGCAUUAAGUUGGGCACUCUAGUGAGACUGCCGGUGACAAACCGGAGGAAGGUGGGGACGACGUCAAAUCAUCAUGCCCCUUAUGACCUGGGCUACACACGUGCUACAAUGGAUGGUACAACGAGUCGCGAAACCGCGAGGUUAAGCUAAUCUCUUAAAACCAUUCU
This 1141-nucleotide ribosomal RNA is filed under the name Pediococcus pentosaceus. RNAcentral describes it as "bacterial SSU rRNA". It matches the Rfam family "Bacterial small subunit ribosomal RNA", at positions 162 to 1288 of the family's 1533-position model. The record is from RNAcentral. Lineage: Bacteria; Bacillati; Bacillota; Bacilli; Lactobacillales; Lactobacillaceae.